GGGCGGGUGGCGAAACUGGUAGACGCACCACACUCAAAAUGUGGCGAGCUUGCGCUCAUAGGAGUUCGAUUCUCCUCCUGCCCAC
This 85-nucleotide transfer RNA is filed under the name Fischerella thermalis. RNAcentral's name for it is "tRNA-Leu". It matches the Rfam family "tRNA". From Rfam's summary of the family: Transfer RNA (tRNA) molecules are approximately 80 nucleotides in length. Their secondary structure includes four short double-helical elements and three loops (D, anti-codon, and T loops). The record is from RNAcentral. Lineage: Bacteria; Bacillati; Cyanobacteriota; Cyanophyceae; Nostocales; Hapalosiphonaceae. RNAcentral also lists the same sequence under 1 other name.